AAUCACCUCACUCUCCAGAGGUACUCCAUUCUUUUUUAAACGACAGGUACUCCAUUCUAACGUCUCCCCUUUUUAUCAGCAGCCACGGGUCGUAUGCACAAUUGUUUCACUUCACAAACUACAACCAUGUCAAGAAUCCAUGCUCUGGAAUGGUGGUCAUUGAACAAAGGUGAGGCAUCCUUCCUCAUUCACCCCCGUGGUUUGUAAAACCUUGAUCGUGCAACCCGCCUCUAUGUAGCUGCUAGCUAGACUGUACAUUACUAUUACAUUUGUUAUAUUUUUAAUCUCGAGAUGGAUGCUGCAUUGUUAUAUUUUUAAUCUCGAGGUGGAUGCUGCAAAACCCCAUUCAAGAACGUGCUAGAAGUCAGCUCCACGUUCGGCUAACCUGAAUCUUCAUUUGGACCUCAUUCCAUCCCAAAGUCCUCAAAUCGCUACCUAGGUAUGGGUGCCAAGUUUUUUUAGUAAUGUAUGCAUCAUCUUCAGACCUGCCUCCAAGGCUCCAUCUAGGUACAUGUUGCGUAAUAUAGCUUCACACCACUAAUUUCGUUUAGUUUCUUGAUUCAAAGUGGUACAAACUGAACCUACGAACAAAUGCAAAAGUAUUUCACUAUGCAAACUACAACAUUUGAUCUGCGCUUGUAAUAGUUCUACAGCACUUGGAAGACACUAUCGUGAAGAAAGUUAUUGGGUUUGCCACCACAUUAGCCCGACAAACACAUAUACUGAAAUGGUCGUUCUUCAACCAAAACGAAGAUUAGCAUUCUUCCUUGUUCACCCCUGUUUUAGAAUGGUCUUGCAUGGUGCAGAGUAAUUGAAUGGGAAGUAUUAAUUUCAUGGGAUCUGUGGUGCGAUGUCUAGCUAGCAAUUGGAAACACGAAUUAGUUAAUUAACUGAAGUGAUCUACUUGUUUUGUUCUUAAAUAAAACGACUUGGCUUAUCCACUUUUGCAACUCUUGUUUACACAUUAUCAGAUAGAGAUUGGCUCAUCGCUUUAUGGACAUGCAUAUCAUCACUUGUGAGAAGUCAUUUUCAGUACCAUUGAUAUUGCUUACAAACAUGUUGACCAGGGCACCAGGCGCAAACCGAAGUAUAUCCAUCCAAGAUGCUCAAAACUGUUCACUUUUUGUGCUCUUUGGUUCUAUCUUCUUGAACAACCCCACCCACACAUUUAUAGUCUAAGCCUAGAAUAUGCGUUACUUCACUACUUACUCCAUUUAUUUUGGUUUUCUCAUUGACAGUAAGUUGUAGCACAAUACUGCAUCUCAAGCCGACAUGUAUUCUGGAAUGAACGUCUUGAAACAAAGGUGAGGCUUCCUUCCUCAUUUACUGCUCUCGUUUCAGUUGUGUUUGUUCAAUCCUAUCCAUUAUCUGUAGCAUGGGUUCGCUGCUAGACUACAUUUUACUAUUCUGGCUACAAAAUAUAUGUCUCA
Molecule: long non-coding RNA, 1430 nt
Filed under: Hordeum vulgare
Lineage: Eukaryota; Viridiplantae; Streptophyta; Magnoliopsida; Poales; Poaceae
Description: long non-coding RNA (HVUL_LNC014805)
Source: RNAcentral